GCCGUGUUACCUUAGUGGGGAGGAGGGGCAGUCUUGAAAACUGUUGGCCGCGAGAGCGGUCUGGGAGUUCGAAUCUCUCACACGGCGCCA
This 90-nucleotide transfer RNA is filed under the name Ruminococcaceae bacterium YAD3003. RNAcentral describes it as "tRNA_Ser_TGA". It matches the Rfam family "tRNA". From Rfam's summary of the family: Transfer RNA (tRNA) molecules are approximately 80 nucleotides in length. Their secondary structure includes four short double-helical elements and three loops (D, anti-codon, and T loops). Further hydrogen bonds mediate the characteristic L-shaped molecular structure. tRNAs have two regions of fundamental functional importance: the anti-codon, which is responsible for specific mRNA codon recognition, and the 3' end, to which the tRNAs corresponding amino acid is attached (by aminoacyl-tRNA synthetases). tRNAs cope with the degeneracy of the genetic code in two manners: having more than one tRNA (with a specific anti-codon) for a particular amino acid; and 'wobble' base-pairing, i.e. permitting non-standard base-pairing at the 3rd anti-codon position. The record is from RNAcentral. Lineage: Bacteria; Bacillati; Bacillota; Clostridia; Eubacteriales; Oscillospiraceae.